RNAcentral lists this ribosomal RNA (423 nucleotides) under uncultured bacterium. RNAcentral describes it as "bacterial SSU rRNA". It matches the Rfam family "Bacterial small subunit ribosomal RNA", at positions 207 to 622 of the family's 1533-position model. The record is from RNAcentral.
AAGACCUUGCGCUUUUGGAGCGGCCGAMGUCUGAUUAGCUUGUUGGUGAGGUAAAAGCUUACCAAGGCUUCGAUCAGUAGCUGGUCUGAGAGGACGGCCAGCCACACUGGGWCUGAGACACGGCCCAGACUCCUACGGGAGGCAGCAGUGGGGAAUUUUGGACAAUGGGGGCAACCCUGAUCCAGCCAUGCCGCGUGAGUGAAGAAGGCCUUCGGGUUGUAAAGCUCUUUCAGCCGGAACGAAACGGUUACGGUUAAUACCCGUGACUACUGACGGUACCGGAAGAAGAAGCACCGGCUAACUACGUGCCAGCAGCCGCGGUAAUACGUAGGGUGCAAGCGUUAAUCGGAAUUACUGGGCGUAAAGCGUGCGCAGGUGGUUUUGUAAGUCAGAUGUGAAAUCCCCGGGCUUAACCUGGGAACU